CACAUUAUUUCAACCACUAAAGUUCUGGGUUCUUUGUUACACAACAAUAGAUAACUAAAACCAUGGGAGAUAAGACUGUAUAGGGAAGUCAGGUAAUGCAAGUCCUUUCAAGCUAUGGUAGUAAUUUUUGUUUUGAUCCAUACUGCAAAGGGAAGACUUGACAGUGUCAGAUGAUCUGAUCUGCAUUUUCAAAAGGUUAUUAUGACUGCACAGUGAUAAAUGGAUAGGAAACAUCAUGGCGAAAGAAUAAGAGUGGAUGUAUGGAGAUCAGUUAUGAGGCUGUUUUAGUUGUCUAGAAUUUGAGCCAAUAUAGAGACCAUUGCACCCCAGUCUAAAUCUGACUUUCCUCUGGAGAGUAAGAAGAAAAGGAAGGAGGAGGAAACAUGGACGAUUCUGGCAGAGAGAAGCCGUUACCCAGUGUGGUCCAUGACACAUCUUGGUUGGUUUAGCGAAUGAUACUUGUAAUCAAAUCUCCUAUCAAUAUACAAGAUGCGUGUUUUGGCUAUUAGAAGCUGGUGCAAAAAGAAAUUUUCUGGAGGCACAUUUUGGCAAAGUAGCAAGGGAAGAAAUGGAAAAGAGGUACAAACUUUCUAUUUUGGAUUGUAAACUGCUUAAAGUUUUCAGUCUAGAAGAGUUUCAAAUAUGACUCCUCUCCUGACCAGAUACCUUCAACAGAAUCAAAUGCCUGUGCUUUCUCCCUGUCUUUCAAGAAGGCACAUUGACGUGCUCUCAUCCUGAGCUGCCUAGGUAAAAAAAAAAUCUUAUUUUGGUGUUUAGUUACAUUUCUUCUCUUUCACUAGAAUUCAGUAUGCCACUGCGGUAUGCUGAGGAUCUAUGUAACAUGAGUAUGAUCAUUAACACUGUACUCCUAGGUUUCUAUGUUCUGAGUUUCAUGGUGGACAAGAACAAUUAUAUUAAAUUAUCCUUCAAGGCUCGAUGAAGCUUCUGUAAACAGAAAUUUAUUGAGCAUAUAAGAGAAUUAAGAGCAAAUAAGAAGCAGCGGGGUAGAGGGGCUAGAAGAAAAACACUACAGCAUUAUUUGGAAGGACUAAAGGACAUCGAGAAAACCACCGCUCACUAUCAACCCAACCUCUUUAAAGCUUGCUUAUACUUCAAAGUUUCUAUUUUCGCAAGAUAUGUAUUGGUAAGAGUUUCACAUAGGAAAAUUGUGUGAAUCAUUUUCUUUGAGCAAAAGCUCUACCUUGUCAAGGUAAUGAGUUCUAUGUCAAUAUUUUUCUUUUUUUCCUCUCAGCUUUAAGUACAAAAUCAGUCUGCAGUGAUGUGCUCAGAAUUUGUGGCUCUUCAGAAUGACGUUUUUCCCCAAGGGUCAUCUCGUUUUGGGAUAACUGCAGACUUUACUUGGGUAUACUUUCAUUCCUUCUUCUUUUACAAAGCCACAGGGUAAAUUCAACAUGACAGUGUGAGUGAUAUGCUUGGUAAAUUUGCACUAACAUAUGCAAAUUUGGGGAGGAAUUAUUUAUAAGGGAGUAAUAUGUUCAAAUUUUUUUAAUAA
Molecule: long non-coding RNA, 1513 nt
Filed under: Equus caballus (horse)
Lineage: Eukaryota; Metazoa; Chordata; Mammalia; Perissodactyla; Equidae
Description: lncRNA (ENSECAG00000047419.1)
Source: RNAcentral